Molecule: ribosomal RNA, 1476 nt
Filed under: Triticum aestivum (bread wheat)
Lineage: Eukaryota; Viridiplantae; Streptophyta; Magnoliopsida; Poales; Poaceae
Description: partial small subunit ribosomal RNA
Source: RNAcentral
AUGCUCCCGCUCGCCCGCGCGGCCCUCCGCCGCCUCGGCCCCGCGGCCGCGGGGGAUGGCUCCCUCCCCGCCCGCCUCCUCCUGCUCGCGCCGCUCGCCUCCAAGCCGUCGUCGUCCACGCCGCCGGAGUACCAGAUGCCGUCGGUGACGUGGGGCGUGAUCCAGGGCCGCAGGGAGCGGCUCGUGUCCCGCGUGCUCGCCCUCGACUUCCUCCGCUCGGCCGGCGUCACCGACCCCGCGGGCGAGCUGGAGGCCGUGGAGCUCCCCUCCUCCCUCGACGUGCUCCAGGAGCGCCUCGACUUCCUCCUCCGCCUCGGCCUCUCCACCGACGACCUCUCCGCCUACCCGUUCCUCCUCGCCUGCUCCCUCCGCAAGAACGUCAUCCCCGUCCUCUCCUACCUCGAGAAGCUCGGGGUCACGCGCGCCCGCCUCGCCGCCUUCGUCCGCGCGUACCCGGCCUGCCUCCACGCCUCCGUCGCCGUCGACCUCGCCCCCAUCGUCAAGGCGCUCCGCGGCCUCGACGUCGACCGCCAGGACAUCCCCCGCGUCCUCGAGCGCUACCCCGACGUCCUCGGCCUCAAGCCCGACGGCACCAUCAGCACCUCCGUCGCCUACCUCGUCGGCAUCGUCGGCAUCGCGCCCCGUGACAUCGGUCCCAUGGUGGCGCACUACCCUUUCUUCCUUAGCAUGCGUGUUGGCACCACGAUCAAGCCGUUCUGUGAUUACAUUACAUCUCUGGGUCUGCCGAUGCGGAUUCUCGCGAGGAUUAUUGAGAAGCGGCCAUACAUUCUUGGCUAUGAUCUUGAGGAGACAGUCAAACCAAAUGUUGAGGCAUUACUCAGCUUCGGCAUUCGGAAGGAGGUGCUGCCACUCAUGAUUGCGCAGUACCCAUCCAUUCUUGGGUUGCCCCUGAAAGUGAAGCUAGCCGCACAGCAGUACUUCUUCAACCUGAAGCUCAAAAUGGACCCUGAUGGAUUUGCCCGUGCCGUCGAGAAGCUGCCACAGCUCGUGAGCUUGCACCAGAAUGUGAUACUGAAGCCCGUGGAGUUCCUCCGCGGCCGGGGGAUCACCGAUGAUGAUAUUGGGCGCAUGUUGAUCCGGUGCCCCCAGAUUCUUUUGCUGCGGAACGAGCUCAUGAAGAACAGCUUUUACUUCUUCAAGAGCGAACUGAAGCGGCCAAUAAGUGAGCUUCUGGAGUACCCAGAGUAUUUUACAUACAGCUUGGAGUCGAGGAUCAAGCCUAGGUACAUGAGAGUGGCAAGUAAGGGGAUCAGAUGUAGCUUGGAUUGGUUUCUGAACUGCAGUGAUCAGAGGUUUGAGGAAAGGAUGCGAGGGGAUUUCAUUGAAGGGGAUGCACCAGGACCUUCAUUUACAAUGGGUGGGAAGCUUCAGAUGCCUGGCAACCAGAUAGUGUCAGAUGAUGAUAAUGAGGAUAGUGACGAUGAGGUCCUAUAUAGGCGGACGGUCAUGCUCUAA